Molecule: transfer RNA, 73 nt
Filed under: Ailuropoda melanoleuca (giant panda)
Lineage: Eukaryota; Metazoa; Chordata; Mammalia; Carnivora; Ursidae
Rfam family: tRNA
About the family: Transfer RNA (tRNA) molecules are approximately 80 nucleotides in length. Their secondary structure includes four short double-helical elements and three loops (D, anti-codon, and T loops).
Source: Rfam by way of RNAcentral
GCCUGGCUGGCUCAGAUGGAAGGGCACAUGACUCUUGACCUCGGGGUCGUGGGUUCAAUCCCCAUGUUGGGUG